Molecule: long non-coding RNA, 153 nt
Organism: Lemur catta (Ring-tailed lemur)
Lineage: Eukaryota; Metazoa; Chordata; Mammalia; Primates; Lemuridae
Exons: 3
Source: RefSeq, a predicted model, not a curated record
CCAAAGCCAAGUGAGCAGGAUUCUCCAUCUCAUACACUCUUAUUUAAUUGGCUUAAUGAGUUUGGGCUGAUGUGACCGAGUGAUCAAUCAGAUGAGGAUUCUGUUUUGUCCAUUAUUUGAGGGCAAGAGGAUGACAAGGUGACUGGACUGUGG